UGGACAUAUUAUUUCAUGCUGCAUUAAACGGAUGUUUCACUAUCUGGUCUGAGGAUAUGAUGACUCUUAGCCCAAGCUGCACCAUUUUGUAAACCCCCGCCAUUUUGCAAACCCAGGUCAGAGUGGAAAAUUCCCCUAGGGCUCAGGCUGUGAGAAACAUCCUGCCGGGUAAGUCCUAAGCCCAACCGCCUGAUCUCAGGAAAUUCCUCACUUAGCAACAGCUAACCACCCUGCCCACCCCACUUCACAACAAGCCCAGAUCUCUCCCACCUGGACCUAAACUUACCCAGUCUGUAAGCGGGGGCGGGCUCUGGCGCUAGUUGGUGUGCCCCUCCGCGAGUGUUUGUUCCGUAAACCUGUGUUGCUGUAGAGCCGCCUCCGUCCGUUUUUCCUCCCGUUCCCGCGCUAACAAUGACAUUAUACCAAAUGUAACUGGGAUGAAGAGUAAGACAAGGAAAUAAAAACCAUCAUGAAAAAACUACUUGAAGAGAAGAAAUGAAAAAAUCAUAUUGGGAAGAAAGAAGCG
Molecule: long non-coding RNA, 526 nt
Organism: Pan paniscus (pygmy chimpanzee)
Lineage: Eukaryota; Metazoa; Chordata; Mammalia; Primates; Hominidae
Source: Ensembl